UGGUCGGGGGAAAGAGGAAGGGGAGCUAGGGGUGCUCGACGACACGGGGAGGGAGAGGGAAGGCACGCACGCGAGCCGGUUCCUGUGGCAGCAGCGGGAGCCAACGAGGAGGUACUGGAGCGGAGAAAGAGGAGGAGCGGAUGGGUAGCAGGCGCGCGUCCAACGGCGGCAGCCUCUUAUCCUGUCACAGCCCAAUGAAGGAGGAAAGGAGGGCGGCCUAGAUUUCACACGCCAACACCUCCUCUCGGAGAGGACAUCCUCUCCAUUCUACCCUCUCUCCCCCUCUUCCUUCCUCUCCUCCCUCCGGGUCGCCACUUGCUCUCUCCCAGUAGCCGACCGCGGACGGUCCAGUCCACAAUGGACCACCAACCACCGUCGAGCUAGGACCCAGGAAAAAGAAGGUGGAGGGGUGACGGAUUGUGGCUCGUGGCCAGUCCCUCGUACCCUAGCUGUUGCUGCCGGCCUUGGGUUCUCCCUCCUACUCCCCUAACUUCUCCCACAAGAACACAAGUAGCGGACUUGUUCCUUCUCCUGCUGCUGCGCCCCACCUUGUACAGUAGGGAGACCAAUACCGGAAGGAAAGACGACGACCCACUCGAAGAAGAGGGAAGGGCAGUUACUCUCCAUCAAUGUCAUCAACUAUACAGCGGAACGAGGCUCCGACUCUACUCCCAAAAGUGACUAACACCACCGGACUCCGCCUCUAGCUGUCGGUCUACGAACACCGACGGUAUGUUUUGUACGAGAGAACGACUGGAGCUCCAGGUCGGCGUUACCUGGUAGAGGUUCACACCUAGUAACCUCGAUAGUACUUCUAUAUUCGUUCGACGACCAAAGUCGUUGAACCGUAAAAACAUGACUAAUCACUUGAUCGUUCGAACGAGCUCCUUUUGAACGUUCGGGCUACACGUGACUACCGCGACGGUCGUUGUAGUUCCUACCUUAGUCGUUCUGUGAGAAAAUCCAGUCUCUUUAACCGCCAGGUUACUAAUUCGGACUUAGAAGUACCGAAGAUGUCGGUGGUUGUACCACAUCGAGUCGGUCUGGUGUUGAUAGCUAUCCACUGGUAGAAGUAACUCCAUGUCUUUUGUUAGGUACGUAACGGUACGAAUAGAAGAGACUUGGAAAUGUAGUAAGUUAGGGUGAGUAACUGUUCUGAAUCUAUAGUACUCCCACUACUACCUCCUAUCGUUACAGAGGUAGUCGACGAUGGUAUCUUCCACCUCUGUUCACCGCUCACUGUCAUAACGUCCGAACGUCGAUAGUUACUUCUAGCACCAACAAACGGGGGGGAUGUUUCUAAUUCCAGGGAACCUCCGAUGUUUACUAUCCCGGAAGUAGUGAGUACGACUACAAGCUCUUCUUAGACCCGGACUGUGCCGUCGACUUGUACACGAUCCAAACGAAUGGACGGAAACUUGAGAGACUUACAGUUUUCGUGAUUUCACCCAUGAAGGAUUACCUUUAUAAGAGAAGAAACGACCACUCCCAUCCAAGAUAGAGUAGUCAAGAACGAAGAACUACAAAGUAACAUAAGUCAAUACUAUAUAAAAAGUUGAUAUGUUCGUGAACCCCUUCAGUCCUUUUGACUUGGUUUCUGUUUGUGAAAAUGACCGCUACAAGCCCGAAAAAAAUUGACUCUACACUUUCUACGUAGAAUAGGGGAUUCUUUAUAACGGAAAAUAAAGAACUAAAAAGGGACUGGACGAUUAAAUCUCGAUCUAUAAGUACUAAGUAGUAUGUGUAAUGUUAUUUAAUAGGUAACCUUAGAAAACAGGUAUCUCCACUAAAACAAACCUGGUAAACAGAUCCAUCACUGUAAAACUAGCUAUUCCGUGUUCAAAUAAAAGAAAAAGUGAGUACCGAUGUGAUUUGAUUCGUAGUGGCAGUUACUUUUCUUCCGUAUGUUUAGUACUUCAAAAACGGAACCAAAACACGGAGUAAAUCAACAGUGAAUAAAUAAAGUUCCUUCAAUAAGUUAAGGGUAGCUCGAAAGGACUACGAAAGGUAAACAUUUUCUCUUUAAAUUAUACGUUAUAAAAAUUAUAAGCUCCUCCGGUGUCCUCUUCUUUUCCCCGACAGUCCAGUCUGAAACCACGUAGAGACUGGUUUCUACCGACCUAGGUAGGCUGCGAGAAGGUUUAUCUCACGUCUAUACGACUGUCCGCAAUUCUGAACCACCUCGGUCCGGUACUUCGUGAUAAUCGUAAGUUGUGAACCGGGACUACUCGUACUGUCGGAUACGAUGGCGGACUUGUAGAAGAUAAGAAGAAAACCGGGUUUUGCUCUGGUCAUCCCCGUGGAACUCGCUCAUGAGUUCCGUACGUCAGUUCAGUACUACGACCAAGGAAAAGCGAUCUAGAAUGUAUAAAUUAAUACACUAAAACCUUCGGUUUUGACUAAUUCUAGAAGACAAGAAUGAACGUCUACAAUACAAUAAGUCUCAUGAAGUCAAAGGUCAGAGAUAUAUAAUUAGUUUAAUACCCAAUAAAACUUGGAAUAUCCGAAAAUAAUAUACAAAUCAAUACGAAGGUACCCAAAACGUAUACAUAAUUGUUUUCUUGGUAUGAUGAUAAAACAGAUAUGAACUUAGCUUCCUGCAUAUCAAUUAAACGAGAAUGCUUUCCUGACUCAUCUGUCGAUCGGUUUACUGUCCUGUUAGUACUGUUCGUUUCGUUGUGUAUUUAUCAUUAGGGACCCUCAUGAAACCUAAAAUUCACCCUUAGUAUCAAUAAAAGAAGAAUUGAAACCAUACUGUUCGUCAAGUUCACUAUAAGGAUUAACAACGACGACUGUGACUUUUUGAUGAGGACUUCGUGAUCUUCACGGGAGAGAUACCAAGUAGUGAGUGACCUAGGUAUACCCGUUGGAAGGCGAAGUUUUAAUUUUCUCGUGUCAAAAACGGACGAUAGUAACGAAUGCUUCUCAUUAGAUGGUACAGGGAUUAUAUAUAUGCAUUAACAACGUGGUAGUGUUCUAAAGGUACUAUACGUACCCGUAUUGAAAGAAAUGACUCCUUUCCGUCCGACAGUAAAGAUUUCCAACUCUAAAAGACAAAAUUCCUUACAGUUGAUAGAUAAGGAAUAGACCGUACACAUAAACGAAACAGGAGAUGAAGACUAUUCCGUUCUGUCUAGUUUGGUUGUAUCAUUAGGAGAUUAGGAACUAAUAUAAUACUUUUUUGUGACCAAAAAGCACAGUCCUAUCAUGAUACAGUUUGACUACGAAACAUAACGUACAAGGCCACAUAUGGGACUGUUAUAACCUAGGCCGAACGGACGAGGGAGAAGUACAAGAGUAGGCACGAGGGUGAAGUAAGAUGCCGACAGGAAAAAGGAAAAAGGAAAGAUUAGAUUAGUAGAAGGGGGAACUAAAAUUCCCCCACCCCGGCCCACAAUAAAACAAGGUUAGUUUAGUUCGGUGCAUGCACCCUCGUGCCUACUCACGUGCAGACUCCUCGUCCGUUCAGAGCAGGCUGUUAUAAUCCGUAAAGGAAACAAACAAGUAUCGUGUAAUCAAAGAAAUCAAUAUCGGCCAAAAUAAAGGCUAAGUUUGGG
Molecule: ribosomal RNA, 3557 nt
Filed under: Triticum aestivum (bread wheat)
Lineage: Eukaryota; Viridiplantae; Streptophyta; Magnoliopsida; Poales; Poaceae
Description: partial small subunit ribosomal RNA
Source: RNAcentral